AGAGUUUGAUCCUGGCUCAGCCUGAACGCUGGCGGCGUGGCUAAGACAUGCAAGUCGCACGGGGUCGCAAGACCCAGUGGCGAACGGGUGAGUAAUGAAUCGCUAAUGUACCCCGGACUCUGGGAUAGCUGCCCGAAAGGGCAGGUAAUACCAGAUGAGACCCCGAUCAGGCAUCUGAUUGUGCUCAAAGGUCCGCCGGUCUGGGAGCAGGCGAUUUCGUAUCAGCUUGUUGGUGAGGUAACGACUCACCAAGGCGACGACGCGUAGCCGGACUGAGAGGUUGGCCGGCCACAUUGGGACUGAGACACUGCCCAGACUCCUACGGGGGGCUGCAGUAACGAAUCUUCCGCAAUGCACGAAAGUGUGACGGAGCGACGCCGCGUGUAGGACGAAGCCCUUCGGGGUGUAAACUACUGUCAGGGGUUAGAAAGUUCUGAUCAACCCCAGAGGAAGGCACGGCUAACUCUGUGCCAGCCGCCGCGGUAAUAC
This 489-nucleotide ribosomal RNA is filed under the name uncultured bacterium. RNAcentral describes it as "bacterial SSU rRNA". It matches the Rfam family "Bacterial small subunit ribosomal RNA", at positions 8 to 526 of the family's 1533-position model. The record is from RNAcentral.